UGGGGAAUAUUGCACAAUGGGGGAAACCCUGAUGCAGCGACGCCGCGUGAGGGAAGACGGUUUUCGGAUUGUAAACCUCUGUCUCUGGUGAAGAUAAUGACGGUAACCAGAGAGGAAGCCACGGCUAACUACGUGCCAGCAGCCGCGGUAAUACGUAGGGGGCAAGCGUUGUCCGGAAUUACUGGGCGUAAAGAGCACGUAGGCGGUAACCUAAGUCAGAUGUGAAAGACCAGGGCUUAACUCUGGGGUUGCAUACGAAACUGGGUAACUAGAGUGCAGGAGAGGAAAGUGGAAUUCCGAGUGUAGAGGUGAAAUUCGUAGAUGUUCGGAAGAACACCAGUGGCGAAGGCGACUGACUGGACAGAUAUUGACGCUGAGGUGCGAAAGCGUGGGGAGCAAACA
This 402-nucleotide ribosomal RNA is filed under the name uncultured bacterium. Its description in RNAcentral is "bacterial SSU rRNA". It matches the Rfam family "Bacterial small subunit ribosomal RNA", at positions 355 to 774 of the family's 1533-position model. The record is from RNAcentral.